Bos taurus (domestic cattle) is the source of this 1189-nucleotide long non-coding RNA. NCBI's taxonomy places the organism in Eukaryota, Metazoa, Chordata, Mammalia, Artiodactyla, Bovidae. The record is from Ensembl.
CCACAUGGCUGCCACGAAAAUCCAACCCUGCUCAGUCCCACCCUAUCCUUUCCCUUCAGAUCCAGUUUCGACUCCUGGACUUGGCCUGUGAGUCUUCUGGACUCCAUCAUCCUACAUUCUCAUUUGCCUCUCAUCUGGUCUGGGGGCUCUACAAGGGUAGGUCCUGGACAUUUUGAUUCUGGGACCUGCCAUAGAAAGGAGGUUAGGCUUUCUGGGCAAGGAUCACAGGCCAGGCCCCCAUCAGAUGUUUACACACGUUUCUGCAAUUUGGGCUUCACAAUAAGCCAGAACAUCAGGUGUUACUAUUAUUCUCACUUUGAAGAUCAGCAAACUGAGGUCAGAAAGAUCAAGCAAUAUGCCAAAAGUCACACUCAAUGUGAUCGCUGAAGACAUGAAGAGAUGAAGGAAGGGGCACUGAGCACAUGGGGUUCCCGCUUUCAGGCCCUGGUCCCCAGAGGCAUCUGCAGCGGGGCUGCUGUGAGGUACUUCCCGGGCAUUUGGCCCCUUGGACAAGGAUCUGGAAAAGGAAGCCCACAGGGAGUGGCAGAAGCAUCAUUAAUCAGCACAAUAAAGACAGCCAGAAGUUGCCCAACAACCACUGGGUACAGGCCCCAGGCUGGGUCCGUUAUUCUCAGUUUAGGCACCAACCUGAGAAGAAGCUACUAUCUUUCUCACUCUACUGAUGGGGAAACUGAGGUUGGAUGAGAUGAGGACUAGAGCUGGGGGCAGGUGGGGGGAAUAUUAGUGAUGACCAGCAGGGCCCUCCGUCAGCAUAGAUCUGAGGUUCCUGGUGGCGAGGAAGGAGAAGAAGCUGCUUGAGGGUCCAGGAGACGCUGGAGGAGGCUCUGAACACUACAGCACAACCAGAGAGGGGACUGUGGACCCACCAGAGGGGAUGGCUGCGGUGUGGGGGAACCCCCUUUGUGGCCGCUCCAGGGCCAGUGAAGGGUCAUUUCCUUCCGUGUUCAGCCCCGCCGUCACCUCUCCUGUUUGCCUCCCCUAAGUGCGGCGGCGCCAACAGCGGGAGAAAUCGGGGCCAGGCCGGAUUUCCUCUGCGGACCUGCGGCUGCUAGAGCCACCCGCCCCUCCGGACCCCGCGGGGCCACGAACUGCACGUGCGGCGGCGGCCUCGGUGGCACAGCCCUUCCUUAGGGACCCCUCUCCUUCCCCGUCCUUUCACCCUGUCCUC